AGACAGCCAGGAUGUUGGCUUAGAAGCAGCCAUCAUUUAAAGAAAGCGUAAUAGCUCACUGGUCGAGUCGGCCUGCGCGGAAGAUGUAACGGGGCUAAACUAUGCACCGAAGCUGCGGCAGCGACACUAUGUGUUGUUGGGUAGGGGAGCGUUCUGUAAGCCUGUGAAGGUGUGUCGUGAGGCAUGCUGGAGGUAUCAGAAGUGCGAAUGCUGACAUAAGUAACGAUAAAGCGGGUGAAAAGCCCGCUCGCCGGAAGACCAAGGGUUCCUGUCCAACGUUAAUCGGGGCAGGGUGAGUCGACCCCUAAGGCGAGGCCGAAAGGCGUAGUCGAUGGGAAACGGGUUAAUAUUCCCGUACUUGGUGUUACUGCGAAGGGGGGACGGAGAAGGCUAUGUUGGCCGGGCGACGGUUGUCCCGGUUUAAGCGUGUAGGUGUGUGUUCCAGGUAAAUCCGGUUCACUUUAACACUGAGGCGUGAUGACGAGGCACUACGGUGCUGAAGCAACAAAUGCCCUGCUUCCAGGAAAAGCCUCUAAGCAUCAGGUAACAUCAAAUCGUACCCCAAACCGACACAGGUGGUCAGGUAGAGAAUACCAAGGCGCUUGAGAGAACUCGGGUGAAGGAACUAGGCAAAAUGGUGCCGUAACUUCGGGAGAAGGCACGCUGACACGUAGGUGAAGUGAUUUACUCAUGGAGCUGAAGUCAGUCGAAGAUACCAGCUGGCUGCAACUGUUUAUUAAAAACACAGCACUGUGCAAACACGAAAGUGGACGUAUACGGUGUGACGCCUGCCCGGUGCCGGAAGGUUAAUUGAUGGGGUCAGCGCAAGCGAAGCUCCUGAUCGAAGCCCCGGUAAACGGCGGCCGUAACUAUAACGGUCCUAAGGUAGCGAAAUUCCUUGUCGGGUAAGUUCCGACCUGCACGAAUGGCGUAAUGAUGGCCAGGCUGUCUCCACCCGAGACUCAGUGAAAUUGAACUCGCUGUGAAGAUGCAGUGUACCCGCGGCAAGACGGAAAGACCCCGUGAACCUUUACUAUAGCUUGACACUGAACAUUGAGCCUUGAUGUGUAG
This 1071-nucleotide ribosomal RNA is filed under the name Salmonella enterica. Its description in RNAcentral is "partial 23S ribosomal RNA". It matches the Rfam family "Bacterial large subunit ribosomal RNA", at positions 1087 to 2141 of the family's 2925-position model. The record is from RNAcentral. Lineage: Bacteria; Pseudomonadati; Pseudomonadota; Gammaproteobacteria; Enterobacterales; Enterobacteriaceae.